GUCACGAACAGUUGGCUCUGGCACACAUAAUGACACUUGGAAGGAAAGUCUUAUUUUAACAACGCUGUUGACUUUCCAACUUCUGCGUUACCACAGUCAUCAGAGUCCAAUUUACUCUUCAGGGGCCCUAAUCAUUCUAUACCUGAACUGGACAGAAAGAAAAUAAUUUGUUCACUUAACAGAAAGAAAGUCUAUACUCCCAAAACAAAAUGAGUCAGACAGUGAUCUUUGAAUUAACAGGCUCUGCUGACGGACUAUUUUCCCCACUUUUCAUCAGUCUGGUGACAGUGGACUCUGGACAGAGAUAAAUGAGAGGUCAAGCUACCCUUCAUUUUUCCAGAGGAUUAUUUCACCCACAGAUAAGGCACGAAGAAGGAAGUAAUAGUCAAGACCAGCCUGUGAGAAAACAACAAAAAAAGGAUAACUAACAAAAGCCCCAUUCUCCAGCUCUUGCCCCGGCCAGCGCUUCAGCACGGUGAAAAUUCUAACAAGGAGCAAACAGCAAAGAACUGAAAUGCUAUACAGACUCCAGUGAGAAAAAACUGAGGUAAUUGGUUUCGGUGUGCUGGUGCUUGAAACUCUAUCCCAGUGCUUCCUUCAACUAAGGCUGCAAAUUGAAAAUGUGAAGAACCUUGCCUGCUUGAACCAGCCUGGGCUUGUGGCAGCAUCAUUCUGUCACUUAAUUCUUCUCACAGAGGAGCCAAAAUAAUGCAGCUUCACAUCUCCUUAAUGGACAGAAGACUACACUGUUUUUGCUGCACCCAGAGAUAAAAUUAUUGGUUUUGGAGUACCUUCACUGAUGCCAGGAAGGGUCCUGUCCUGUACCCGGGAGGAAGAAAUGCUACACAGAGAAGCCAAGAUGAAUCUGAACAGACAGCCUUUGGUGAGUUUCUCCCCUCAGUUUAUUACUAUUAGAUUAUUCCCUUUUUGUCUGAUCACAUUUCUCCAUGUCUGUCUAUUCUUCCUGGAGCCUAACCAUGAACAAUAGACACUUUUCCCAAACUCUUUGGAUAUGUGUCUCUUCAUUUGGCAAUUUUGAUUCAUGUCAUUCAUAAUAAAAU
RNAcentral lists this long non-coding RNA (1061 nucleotides) under Homo sapiens (human). RNAcentral's name for it is "HSALNT0347577". Lineage: Eukaryota; Metazoa; Chordata; Mammalia; Primates; Hominidae. The record is from RNAcentral.